GACACUUCUCUUCGAGACUUCGACAAUCCCAACUGUUCACAGUUAUUACAUGUAAAGUUCCAUAAGUACCCCUAGUCAAGAUGUGCAAUCCCGAGUCAAACCCCAUCAACGCAGACUACUGUCGGUGUCGGUGGGUGAGGUCCUAGCGUAUAAUGAUUUAGGGCAAAACUGGGAUUUCAUAUGAUUUAGGGCAAAACUGGGAUUUCAUAUUAUCUGAACAAAAUAGUGCAUUCACAUGUCUGUCUUGUGCGAUUUUUUUUUAUUUUUAUUUUAAAGAAACUUCCAACAAUUACUAAAUGUCUCACUUACUGUCUUACUUACUGCUGUGCUAAUCCCUUGAUUAAGGAAGCAUCUCUCCAUAAUUUUAAAAAGUCUCAAGUGGGCUGCUGAAUUUUGAACUUUCAUCAGAUCCAAGAACCUUAGACUUAGAGAUAGAUAUCU
Molecule: long non-coding RNA, 441 nt
Filed under: Capsella rubella
Lineage: Eukaryota; Viridiplantae; Streptophyta; Magnoliopsida; Brassicales; Brassicaceae
Description: long non-coding RNA (CRUB_LNC001255)
Source: RNAcentral